Molecule: ribosomal RNA, 385 nt
Filed under: uncultured bacterium
Lineage: Bacteria
Description: bacterial SSU rRNA
Rfam family: Bacterial small subunit ribosomal RNA
Source: RNAcentral
AACGAACGCUGGCGGCAGGCCUAACACAUGCAAGUCGAACGCCUCGCAAGAGGAGUGGCAGACGGGUGCGUAACACGUGGGAACAUACCCUUUGGUUCGGAAUAACUCAGGGAAACUUGAGCUAAUACCGGAUAAGCCCUUACGGGAAAGAUUUAUCGCCAUUGGAUUGGCCCGCGUCUGAUUAGCUAGUUGGUGAGGUAACGGCUCACCAAGGCGACGAUCAGUAGCUGGUCUGAGAGGAUGAUCAGCCACACUGGGACUGAGACACGGCCCAGACUCCUACGGGAGGCAGCAGUGGGGAAUAUUGGACAAUGGGCGAAAGCCUGAUCCAGCCAUGCCGCGUGAGUGAUGAAGGCCUUAGGGUUGUAAAGCUCUUUUACCUGGG